AUCGAUGAAGAACGCAGCGAAAUGCGAUAAGUAAUGUGAAUUGCAGAAUUCAGUGAAUCAUCGAAUCUUUGAACGCACCUUGCGCUCCUUGGUAUUCCGAGGAGCAUGCCUGUUUGAGUGUCGCGAACUUCUCAACCUCGCAACGCUGCCGAGUGUUGGAUCUUGGAGGUUCUGCCGGACUUUUUUUUAACGUCGGGCUCCUCUGAAACGCAUCAGCAGACUAAUUGUUUUUCUUUGCUGGCUUUGGUUUGAUAAAUCUAUCUAUGUCAUCGCCAUCUUGUUAAACGAAAAACGGUCAGCUUACAAUCGUCCCUCUGGGACAAUCGCUUGACGAAUUUGACCUCAAAUCAGGUAGGACUACCCGCUGAACUUAAGCAUAUCAAUAAGCGGAGGAAAAGAAACUAACAAGGAUUCCCGUAGUAACGGCGAGUGAAGUGGGAAAAGCUCAAAUUUGAAAUCUGGCAGCCUAUCUUUGGCUUGUCCGAGUUGUAACCUAGAGAAGCGUCUUUCCGUUGUUGGACCGUGUACAAGUCUCUUGGAAUAGAGCGUCGUAGAGGGUGAGAAUCCCGUCUUUGACACGGACUGCCGGCACAUCUGUGAUGCGCUCUCGAAGAGUCGAGUUGUUUGGGAAUGCAGCUCAAAACGGGUGGUAAAUUCCAUCUAAAGCUAAAUAUUGGCGAGAGACCGAUAGCGAACAAGUACCGUGAGGGAAAGAUGAAAAGAACUUUGGAAAGAGAGUUAAACAGUACGUGAAAUUGUUGAAAGGGAAACGCUUGGAGUCAGUCACGUCGGGCAGGGAUCAACCUUGCUUUUUUUGCUUGGUGUACUCUCUGUUUAUCACCGACGGGUCAGCGUCAAUUUUGACCGUCGGACAAAGUCCAUCGGAAUGUGACAUUUCCUUUGUGAGAUGUGUUAUAGCCUUUGGUCGUAUGCGACGGUUGGGAUUGAGGAACUCGGCACGCCGUACGGUUGUUGCUUAGGAUGCUGGCAUAAUGGCUUUAAUCGACCCGUCUUGAAACACGGA
This 1024-nucleotide ribosomal RNA is filed under the name uncultured fungus. Its description in RNAcentral is "eukaryotic LSU rRNA". The stretch from base 338 to 1024 matches the Rfam family "Eukaryotic large subunit ribosomal RNA", at positions 1 to 665 of the family's 3401-position model. Lineage: Eukaryota; Fungi. The record is from RNAcentral.